This 93-nucleotide transfer RNA is filed under the name Deltaproteobacteria bacterium. RNAcentral describes it as "tRNA-Ser". It matches the Rfam family "tRNA". From Rfam's summary of the family: Transfer RNA (tRNA) molecules are approximately 80 nucleotides in length. Their secondary structure includes four short double-helical elements and three loops (D, anti-codon, and T loops). Lineage: Bacteria; Pseudomonadati; Myxococcota; Myxococcia. RNAcentral also lists the same sequence under 1 other name. The record is from RNAcentral.
GGAGAGGUGACCGAGUGGUUGAAGGUGCACGACUGGAAAUCGUGUGUACCCCUAAUAAGGGUACCGGGGGUUCGAAUCCCCCCCUCUCCGCCA